This 1205-nucleotide long non-coding RNA is filed under the name Ananas comosus (pineapple). RNAcentral describes it as "long non-coding RNA (ACOM_LNC042796)". Lineage: Eukaryota; Viridiplantae; Streptophyta; Magnoliopsida; Poales; Bromeliaceae. The record is from RNAcentral.
AACACACUGGACCUUUGCAAAUUGCGAGGUUCGAGUGUUUGGAUGUAUUUCGAGCUUUUCCACACUUUGUGGAGGGUUGUAGAAUGUUUUCCGACCUAAAAAGUUCGAAAACUGGAAUUCUGGACAAGUCCUGAGAGUUUUGACUCUCGGGGACCGGUCCCUGGAAGGAGAGACCGGUCCCCCAGUGAACAGUGUUGCGGCAGCCCUGAGGCAACCGGUCCCUGGCGGGCGAGACCGGUCCCCGAGCGCGCCUUCGCAGAGAGAGACCGGUCCCACGCAGGGAGAGACCGGUUCCCGAACGAUGGUUUUUCGGGUUCGCAGCGAGAGACCGGUCCCUGCUGGGGAGAGACCGGUCCCUCUGGGCGAAAACUGCCCAGUUCGGGCUGAUGUAAAUUUGAAUUUUUGAGGGGCCUCUCCGGAUUUUGUUACACUAGAUGGGCUUAUUAGCCAUUUCCUCCUCUUCCCUCUCUCAUUUUCUCAUUCUCACCCUCUCCCUACACUUUCUAGAGAGAGAAGAAGAAGAAGAAGGAGGAGAAGAAGAAGAGGAGCUAGCUUGAGGGAGCUUGGAGCUCAACCCCUUUCUCUCUUUCCCACCUUUGCAAGGCUUGGAGCUUGCUUGUAGGGCUUGGUGGUGGACCAAUCUUCAACCCUAGAAGAUUUGGAGCUUGUUUUGAGGCAUCUAAAGAGGUUAGUACUUUGAUUCUACCCUUUGAUUCUUGUUUUGGUAGAUUUUGCCUCUUGGAACCCUAGAAAUGAGAUUUAGGGUUGAUUUUGGGGCUUUUUGAUUUAGGGCUUUUGAGGCUAGAUUGAUUGGAUUUGAACCUUCCUUGGACUUGGAUUGGAAGGGAUUUAGCUCUCUUUUGGAGCUUGAGAGAGAUUUUCCUCACAUUAGGUGAGUUUUAGCCCUUUUGCCAAGUUUGUUAAAGUUUGAUCUUAUAGUUGAUCGUAAUGCCCGUGUAUCUCUUCGCUGAUCACUUUUAGGGUAUCUUGAGGCACGUGGACAACUCCGUUCGGCGAAUCGAAGGAGCACGCGACUGUUCGGUGGGUUUGACCUAGCCUAUGAUAUGAGAAAUGCUCAUAUUUGGCAAAAUAUGUUUCGUAAAGUAGAAAUUCAUGCAUUUUCAUGUUAAAUGUAUUUAAUAUGAAUUUUAGAAUGCUUAACAUGCAUAUAUUAUGUAUAGUAAAAUUUUAGACCCCUAUGUGGU